This 425-nucleotide ribosomal RNA is filed under the name uncultured cyanobacterium. RNAcentral's name for it is "bacterial SSU rRNA". It matches the Rfam family "Bacterial small subunit ribosomal RNA", at positions 356 to 795 of the family's 1533-position model. Lineage: Bacteria; Bacillati; Cyanobacteriota. The record is from RNAcentral.
GGGGAAUCUUCCGCAAUGGGCGCAAGCCCGACGGAGCAAGACCGCGUGAGGGAGGAAGGCUCUUGGGUUGUAAACCUCUUUUCUUUGGGAAGAAGCAAGUGACGGUACCAAAGGAAUCAGCCUCGGCUAACUCCGUGCCAGCAGCCGCGGUAAUACGGAGGAGGCAAGCGUUAUCCGGAAUCAUUGGGCGUAAAGCGUCCGCAGGUGGCACUUCAAGUCUGCUGUCAAAGACUGGGGCUUAACCCUAGAAAGGCAGUGGAAACUGAAGAGCUAGAGUACGGUAGGGGUAGAGGGAAUUCCCGGUGUAGCGGUGAAAUGCGUAGAGAUCGGGAAGAACAUCGGUGGCGAAAGCGCUCUACUGGGUCGUAACUGACACUGAGGGACGAAAGCUAGGGGAGCGAAAGGGAUUAGAUACCCCAGUAGUC